UGGGGAAUUUUGGACAAUGGGCGCGAGCCUGAUCCAGCAAUGCCGCGUGCAGGAUGAAGGCCUUCGGGUUGUAAACUGCUUUUGUACGGAGCGAAAAGGUCUGCCCUAAUACGGUGGGCUCAUGACGGUACCGUAAGAAUAAGCACCGGCUAACUACGUGCCAGCAGCCGCGGUAAUACGUAGGGUGCGAGCGUUAAUCGGAAUUACUGGGCGUAAAGCGUGCGCAGGCGGUUAUAUAAGACAGAGGUGAAAUCCCCGGGCUCAACCUGGGAACUGCCUUUGUGACUGCAUAGCUAGAGUACGGUAGAGGGGGAUGGAAUUCCGCGUGUAGCAGUGAAAUGCGUAGAUAUGCGGAGGAACACCGAUGGCGAAGGCAAUCCCCUGGACCUGUACUGACGCUCAUGCUCGAAAGCGUGGGGAGCAAACA
Molecule: ribosomal RNA, 427 nt
Filed under: uncultured bacterium
Lineage: Bacteria
Description: bacterial SSU rRNA
Rfam family: Bacterial small subunit ribosomal RNA
Source: RNAcentral